AUUGAACGCUGGCGGCAUGCUUUACACAUGCAAGUCGAACGGUAACAGGUCUUCGGCUGCUGACGAGUGGCGAACGGGUGCGUAAUACAUCGGAACGUGCCUAGUAGUUGGGGAUAACUACUCGAAAGAGUAGCUAAUACCUCAUGAGAUCUACGGAUGAAAGCAGGGGACCUUCGGGCCUUGUGCUACUAGAGCGGCUGAUGGCAGAUUAGGUAGUUGGUGGGGUAAAGGCUUACCAAGCCUGCGAUCUGUAGCUGGUCUGAGAGGACGACCAGCCACACUGGGACUGAGACACGGCCCAGACUCCUACGGGAGGCAGCAGUGGGGAAUUUUGGACAAUGGGCGAAAGCCUGAUCCAGCAAUGCCGCGUGCAGGAUGAAGGCCCUCGGGUUGUAAAAUGCUUUUGUACGGAACGAAAAGCCUGGGGCUAAUAUCCCCGGGUCAUGACGGUACCGUAAGAAUAAGCACCGGCUAACUACGUG
RNAcentral lists this ribosomal RNA (482 nucleotides) under uncultured bacterium. RNAcentral's name for it is "partial 16S ribosomal RNA". It matches the Rfam family "Bacterial small subunit ribosomal RNA", at positions 30 to 507 of the family's 1533-position model. The record is from RNAcentral.